GGCGUGAAUUAAUGAGGAGAUUGUACCCCCUCCCUCUCUGUACAUCAAGGUGCCCCCAAACCUUGGAGGAUUGCAAUCGGUGAUUGCAACACCCGUGGUCACAGAUCAGUGGUUCAACCACUACACCUGGGGGCCGGUGGAAGCUCGCUGAGCCAGCUGGCAUGAGACCAGAGGCAAGAUUUUGCCUGUCUUCUAUUCUACAAACCAAUUGCCUCUGUGGCUGCUACCUGUCUUGCCUCGCAUCUGCUCUGUGACUGACUGCACCAGUGGCCCUCUCGACCCAUAUGCCUCCAUGCGAAUGGGAGCUUCUCUGCAACUCUGGUUGUACUGAUUAGACUGGAGUGGAAGAAAUCAACUUCUACAGCAGCCUGGAAGCAGCAAGGCACAAAACAGGACCCUCUGCUCUGCCCAGCCAUUUAAAUAGAGAGACUUGAAAGACAGGUCAAAUGGCAAUCUAACAUUCCUUAGGCAUUUUCUUACCCUUUUUUUGGUAGAUUUUGCUGUUGUUCACUUUGAUGCAGAUGAACUCUGAAGAUGUUAAGUGACCAAGGCUACCAUUUUUGGUCAAUAUGAAGGGUGUUUAUUUGUCUUCUCGAUGAAUGUGCAUCAGUUCCAUUAUUAAAGAAAGGAGGUAGACCUGGCACUCAUGGGGUACUCACGUUAUAUAUAAUUCUCUUAUUACUGUUGGCCUUAUACUCCAGCAUUACAGGAUCAUAGCCAGUGUCAUCCUUUUUUAUUUAAAUUUAAUUUACACAAAAUAAUGUCCCUCUUGCUCCAUUUCUUCCAAUUCCCUGCUUUUGCCUCCCCUGCUCAUUUUUCUUUAUUGUUUCAAAGUUAGUCCCUUCACCAAUGUCACUCGCUUCCACAGUCCCAUAUUUCACCUUUGCAAAACACAGCAAAAAGCCAUCCAUUUAUUCUGCAACAUCAUUUGUGGCUAUUUGUUGCAAUUAAAAAUAGGACUUUGCAAAUUGAGUUGCACUGUCAUUCAGCAGAUGCCAUUCAAUGCUUAUGCAGAGACAAGCAGCAGUUGUUGGUCUUUUCUGUUGUCUGAUCUAUUUUCAUCUAGCAUCACUGUUGCCUCCUCUGGUGUUGGACCCUUCUAGCACAAGUGCACAUCACAGCAUGCUUUUCUUUGUACCAUUUUUACCCUUCAUAGACACCACUUGCCUUUCUUCACCUGGCUCACAGUGGCUUCUGAGGCAAGUCUGUAACUCUAACGCUUGGGACUGUGGCAUGUGGUUUUGCUUCUUGUAGGCCUGUGCUCAGAAGCCUGUCCA
Molecule: long non-coding RNA, 1277 nt
Organism: Neopsephotus bourkii (Bourke's parrot)
Lineage: Eukaryota; Metazoa; Chordata; Aves; Psittaciformes; Psittacidae
Exons: 3
Source: RefSeq, a predicted model, not a curated record